AAAAGGUGGCUAUGCUACCGCUUUUGGAUGGGCCCGCGGCGCAUUAGCUAGUUGGUGGGGUAAAGGCUUACCAAGGCAAUGAUGCGUAGCCGAACUGAGAGGUUGAUCGGCCACAUUGGGACUGAGACACGGCCCAAACUCCUACGGGAGGCAGCAGUAGGGAAUCUUCCACAAUGGGCGAAAGCCUGAUGGAGCAACGCCGCGUGGGUGAAGAAGGUCUUCGGAUCGUAAAACCCUGUUGUUAGAGAAGAAAGUGCGUGAGAGUAACUGUUCACGUUUCGACGGUAUCUAACCAGAAAGCCACGGCUAACUACGUGCCAGCAGCCGCGGUAAUACGUAGGUGGCAAGCGUUAUCCGGAUUUAUUGGGCGUAAAGGGAACGCAGGCGGUCUUUUAAGUCUGAUGUGAAAGCCUUCGGCUUAACCGGAGUAGUGCAUUGGAAACUGGGAGACUUGAGUGCAGAAGAGGAGAGUGGAACUCCAUGUGCAGCGGUGAAAUGCGUAGAUAUAUGGAAGAACACCAGUGGCGAAAGCGGCUCUCUGGUCUGUAACUGACGCUGAGGUUCGAAAGCGUGGGUAGCAAACAGGAUUAGAUACCCUGGUAGUCCACGCCGUAAACGAUGAAUGCUAAGUGUUGGAGGGUUUCCGCCCUUCA
Molecule: ribosomal RNA, 653 nt
Filed under: uncultured bacterium
Lineage: Bacteria
Description: bacterial SSU rRNA
Rfam family: Bacterial small subunit ribosomal RNA
Source: RNAcentral